UUUACCUACGGGGGGCAGCAGUGGGGGAUAUUGCACAAUGGGGGGAACCCUGAUGCAGCGACGCCGCGUGGGUGAAGGAGCGUUUCGGCGCGUAAAGCCCUAUCGGCAGGGAAGAAGAUGACGGUACCUGGCCAAGAAGCCCCGGCUAACUACGUGCCAGCAGCCGCGGUAAUACGUAGGGGGCAAGCGUUAUCCGGAUUUACUGGGUGUAAAGGGAGCGUAGACGGCCAGACAAGUCUGAAGUGAAAAUCCAGCGCUUAACGUUGGAAGUGCUUU
RNAcentral lists this ribosomal RNA (276 nucleotides) under uncultured bacterium. RNAcentral describes it as "partial 16S ribosomal RNA". It matches the Rfam family "Bacterial small subunit ribosomal RNA", at positions 334 to 627 of the family's 1533-position model. The record is from RNAcentral.